UACGGGGGGGGCAAGCGUUGUUCGGAAUUACUGGGCGUAAAGGGUGCGUAGGCGGACAGGUAAGUCAGUGGUGAAAUCUCUGGGCUUAACCCAGAAACUGCCGUUGAUACUAUUUGUCUUGAAUAUCCUGGAGGUAGGCGGAAUAUGUCAUGUAGCGGUGAAAUGCUUAGAUAUGACAUAGAACACCGAUAGCGAAGGCAGCUUACUACAGGAUGAUUGACGCUGAGGCACGAAAGCGUGGGGAGCAAACAGG
Molecule: ribosomal RNA, 253 nt
Filed under: uncultured bacterium
Lineage: Bacteria
Description: partial 16S ribosomal RNA
Rfam family: Bacterial small subunit ribosomal RNA
Source: RNAcentral